RNAcentral lists this ribosomal RNA (903 nucleotides) under uncultured archaeon. RNAcentral's name for it is "bacterial SSU rRNA". It matches the Rfam family "Archaeal small subunit ribosomal RNA", at positions 1 to 920 of the family's 1478-position model. The record is from RNAcentral.
UUCCGGUUGAUCCUGCCGGACCUGAUUGCUAUCGGAUUGGUACUAAGCCAUGCGAGUAAGUGUAGCAAUACACUGCAGACGGCUCAGUAACACGUGGUCAAGCUAACCUAUGGACGUGGAUAACCUCGGGAAACUGAGAAUAAACCGCGAUAGAUCAUGAUGCCUGGAAUGGCUCAUGGUCGAAAUAGUUUACUGCCGUAGGAUGCGACUGCGGCCUAUCAGUUUGUUGGUGAGGUAAUGGCCCACCAAGACUAUUACAGGUACGGGCUCUGAGAGGAGAAGCCCGGAGAUGGGUACUGAGACACGGACCCAGGCCCUAUGGGGCGCAGCAGGCGAGAAACCUUAGCAAUGUGCGAAAGCACGACUGGGUUAGUCCGAGUGAUUCCUGCUAAAGGAAUCUUUUGCCGGUCCUAAAAGCACCGGUGAAUAAGGGGUGGGCAAGUCUGGUGUCAGCCGCCGCGGUAAUACCAGCACCUCGAGUGAUCAGGACGUUUAUUGGGCCUAAAGCAUCCGUAGCUGGCUUUGCAAGUCUCCGGUUAAAUCAACCUGCUCAACAGAUUGGCCGCUGGAGAUACUACAAGGCUAGGGAGUGGGAGAGGCAGACGGUAUUCGGGGGGUAGGGGUAAAAUCCUCUGAUCCUCUGAGGACCACCAGUGGCGAAGGCGGUCUGCCAGAACACGUUCGACAGUGAGGGAUGAAAGCUGGGGGAGCAAACCGGAUUAGAUACCCGGGUAGUCCCAGCUGUAAACGAUGCAAACUCGGUGAAGCAUUGGCUUAAUGCUAAUGCUGUGCCGCAGGGAAGCCGUUAAGUUUGCCGCCUGGGAAGUACGGUCGCAGAUUGAACUUAAAGGAUUGGCGGGGGGAGCACCACAGGGUGAGCCUGCGUUCAUGGAUUCAACGCCG